Molecule: ribosomal RNA, 1378 nt
Filed under: Flavobacterium panaciterrae
Lineage: Bacteria; Pseudomonadati; Bacteroidota; Flavobacteriia; Flavobacteriales; Flavobacteriaceae
Description: Flavobacterium sp. DCY69 16S ribosomal RNA
Rfam family: Bacterial small subunit ribosomal RNA
Source: RNAcentral
GACCGGCGCACGGGUGCGUAACGCGUAUGCAAUCUACCUUUUACAGAGGGAUAGCCCAGAGAAAUUUGGAUUAAUACCUCAUAGUAUAACGACCUGGCAUCAGGAUGUUAUUAAAGUCACAACGGUAAAAGAUGAGCAUGCGUCCCAUUAGCUUGUUGGUAAGGUAACGGCUUACCAAGGCUACGAUGGGUAGGGGUCCUGAGAGGGAGAUCCCCCACACUGGUACUGAGACACGGACCAGACUCCUACGGGAGGCAGCAGUGAGGAAUAUUGGACAAUGGGCGCAAGCCUGAUCCAGCCAUGCCGCGUGCAGGAUGACGGUCCUAUGGAUUGUAAACUGCUUUUAUACGAGAAGAAACACUCCUUCGUGAAGGAGCUUGACGGUAUCGUAAGAAUAAGGAUCGGCUAACUCCGUGCCAGCAGCCGCGGUAAUACGGAGGAUCCAAGCGUUAUCCGGAAUCAUUGGGUUUAAAGGGUCCGUAGGCGGUUUAGUAAGUCAGUGGUGAAAGCCCAUCGCUCAACGGUGGAACGGCCAUUGAUACUGCUAAACUUGAAUUAUUAGGAAGUAACUAGAAUAUGUAGUGUAGCGGUGAAAUGCUUAGAGAUUACCAUGGAAUACCAAUUGCGAAGGCAGGUUACUACUAAUGGAUUGACGCUGAUGGACGAAAGCGUGGGUAGCGAACAGGAUUAGAUACCCUGGUAGUCCACGCCGUAAACGAUGGAUACUAGCUGUUGGGUGCAAACUCAGUGGCUAAGCGAAAGUGAUAAGUAUCCCACCUGGGGAGUACGUUCGCAAGAAUGAAACUCAAAGGAAUUGACGGGGGCCCGCACAAGCGGUGGAGCCAUGUGGUUUAAUUCGAUGAUACGCGAGGAACCUUACCAAGGCUUAAAUGUAGAUUGACCGGUUUGGAAACAGAUCUUUCGCAAGACAAUUUACAAGGUGCUGCAUGGUUGUCGUCAGCUCGUGCCGUGAGGUGUCAGGUUAAGUCCUAUAACGAGCGCAACCCCUGUUGUUAGUUGCCAGCGAGUCAUGUCGGGAACUCUAACAAGACUGCCAGUGCAAACUGUGAGGAAGGUGGGGAUGACGUCAAAUCAUCACGGCCCUUACGCCUUGGGCUACACACGUGCUACAAUGGCCGGUACAGAGAGCAGCCACUGGGCGACCAGGAGCGAAUCUAUAAAACCGGUCACAGUUCGGAUCGGAGUCUGCAACUCGACUCCGUGAAGCUGGAAUCGCUAGUAAUCGGAUAUCAGCCAUGAUCCGGUGAAUACGUUCCCGGGCCUUGUACACACCGCCCGUCAAGCCAUGGAAGCUGGGGGUGCCUGAAGUCGGUGACCGCAAGGAGCUGCCUAGGGUAAAACUGGUAACUAGGGCUAA